Molecule: ribosomal RNA, 499 nt
Filed under: uncultured bacterium
Lineage: Bacteria
Description: bacterial SSU rRNA
Rfam family: Bacterial small subunit ribosomal RNA
Source: RNAcentral
UAGUCCACGCCGUAAACGAUGAUUACUCGCUGUAGGCGAUACACAGUCUGUGGCUAAGCGAAAGUUUUAAGUAAUCCACCUGGGGAGUACGAUCGCAAGAUUGAAACUCAAAGGAAUUGACGGGGGCCCGCACAAGCGGAGGAACAUGUGGUUUAAUUCGAUGAUACGCGAGGAACCUUACCUGGACUUAAAUGUAGAUUGCAUGAAUUAGAGAUGGUUCUUUCUUCGGACUAUUUACAAGGUGCUGCAUGGUUGUCGUCAGCUCGUGUCGUGAGAUGUUGGGUUAAGUCCCGCAACGAGCGCAACCCUCACCUUUAGUUGCCAUCAUUUAGUUGGGCACUCUAAAGGAACUGCCGGUGAUAAGCCGGAGGAAGGCGGGGAUGACGUCAAGUCCUCAUGGCCCUUAUGGGCUGGGCUACACACGUGCUACAAUGGCGAUGACAGUGAGUUUAUCUCCAAAAGUCGUCUCAGUUCGGAUUGUUCUCUGCAACUCGAGAGC